GACGAACGCUGGCGGCGUGCUUAACACAUGCAAGUCGAACGGAAAGGCCCUGCUUUUGUGGGGUGCUCGAGUGGCGAACGGGUGAGUAACACGGGAGUAACCUGCCCUGUACUUUGGGAUAACUUCAGGAAACUGGGGCUAAUACCGGAUAGGAGCUCCUGCUGCAUGGUGGGGGUUGGAAAGUUUCGGCGGUUGGGGAUGGACUCGCGGCUUAUCAGCUUGUUGGUGGGGUAGUGGCUUACCAAGGCUUUGACGGGUAGCCGGCCCGAGAGGGUGACCGGCCACAUUGGGACUGAGAUACGGCCCAGACUCCUACGGGAGGCAGCAGUGGGGAAUAUUGCACAAUGGGCUGAAGCCUGAUGCAGCAACGCCGCGUGCGGGAUGACGGCCUUCGGGUUGUAACCCGCUUUCGCCUGUGACGAAGCGUGAGUGACGGUAAUGGGUAAAGAAGCACCGGCUAACUACGUG
Molecule: ribosomal RNA, 468 nt
Filed under: uncultured bacterium
Lineage: Bacteria
Description: partial 16S ribosomal RNA
Rfam family: Bacterial small subunit ribosomal RNA
Source: RNAcentral